RNAcentral lists this ribosomal RNA (1360 nucleotides) under Elliptorhina davidi. RNAcentral's name for it is "16S ribosomal RNA". The stretch from base 872 to 1228 matches the Rfam family "Archaeal large subunit ribosomal RNA", at positions 2152 to 2714 of the family's 2987-position model. The record is from RNAcentral. Lineage: Eukaryota; Metazoa; Arthropoda; Insecta; Blattodea; Blaberidae.
UCAAUAUAAUUUGAUUAGUGAUUAAAAGUCUUAUAAUUUUUUGUAUACUUAGUUGGGAAAUCAUUUAUUAGGUUAUUGUAUUAGUUAAAAAUUUAAUUGAUUGAUUGGGUUUAGUACUGUAAAGGGUUAGAUAUUAAUAAUUUAUUAUAGGAUAAGUUGUGUUGAUUCUGCGUACCUUGUGUAUCAGGGUUAAUUUAAUAGAAUAUAUUUAUUUGUUGUUCUCGAUUUUUUUUGAGUUAAUAGCUUAUAUUCAUUAUUGUAUUAUAAAUAUGGAAAAUAGGCUAUUAGUGGUGAAAUGCUAUUCGUUGAGAAGGGUAUCUAGUUUCUUGGGAAAUUAAUUUAAUUAAGAUCUUUUUUUUUAACUACUUUAAUUAAUAGAGUAUUUUAAAGGAAAAUUAAUAAUAAAAGGGAUUAGCUUUUUAUUAAAGAUUUAAAAGGUAAAUUGAUUAAUACGUUUUGUGGGUUUAGAAUUGAUUAAUAAUUGAAGUAUGUUAAAAUUUUAUGUGAUGAUGAAUUUGAUUUAUUGGCCUUUAAUAUUUUACUGAGACAUAAUAGUGAUUUUUGUAAUAAUAGUGAUAAUGAUGAAAUUAGUAAAGUGUGAUUAUAGGGUAUUGUGAUGAUAAGUUAAGAUGAGGAAUUCGGCAAUGGCUUAUUCGCCUGUUUAACAAAAACAUCUCUUCUUGGAUUGAUUAGGAAGUAUAACCUGCCCAAUGAGUAGAAAUUUAAUGGCCGCGGUACCUUGACCGUGCAAAGGUAGCAUAAUCAUUAGUCUUUUAAUUGAGGGCUGGAAUGAAUGGUUGGACGAGAUAAGAACUUUCUUAUCUUUAAGAAGUUGAAUUUAAUUAUUGAGUUAAAAAGCUUAAAUUUUUUUAUGGGACGAGAAGACCCUAUAGAGUUUAAUAAUUAUUGAUUAGCAGUAAUGAGUAAUAGAAUUUUAAUUAAUAAUUAUUUUGUUGGGGUGAUAGGAAGAUAAAUGUAACUCUUUUUCUAUUAUAAAUAUUGAUCUAUAGAUUUCUGAUCCAUUAUUAGUGAUUAAAAGACUAAAUUACCUUAGGGAUAACAGCGUAAUCUUUUCUGAGAGUUCUAAUCGAAGUUGAGGAUUGCGACCUCGAUGUUGGAUUAAAGAUUAGACCUAGGUGUAGUAGCUUAGGAUCUAGGUCUGUUCGACCUUUAAAUUCUUACAUGAUCUGAGUUCAAACCGGCGCGAGCCAGGUUGGUUUCUAUCUAUUAACAUUGAAAAUAUUUUAGUACGAAAGGACCAAGUAUUUGAAAUAAUUUUUGUUUAGGAAUAUUAUUAAUGACUAUUUUGGCAGAUAAGUGCAAUGGAUUUAGAAUCUAUAAAUGUAAGUUGUUGUUACAU